Molecule: long non-coding RNA, 698 nt
Filed under: Elaeis guineensis (African oil palm)
Lineage: Eukaryota; Viridiplantae; Streptophyta; Magnoliopsida; Arecales; Arecaceae
Description: long non-coding RNA (EGUI_LNC063189)
Source: RNAcentral
UUUGGAUUGAACCAAAAUUGAAAAAUUGAAGAGUCCCAAGCAACUGGGAUUCUCUCCCUUACGUAUGCCCUAGAUUCCAUGCCAUACAUAACAUGCAAAAGAAGUUUGUGUGAGGGAUUUUUUGGCAUGAGAAAAGAGGGCAUAGAGAUAGUGUGGGCGGUACUCAUGAUGAGUCGUGAACCUUAUCUCCUUCUUUAUUUGAAUUUGAUUCAAAUCAUAGAUAAGAAGAUAAGAAGGAAAGAAAUCAAGUUUCAUGAGAAAGUAUUGGUGGCACCAAAAUCCCUUUCCUUAUUCACAUUGAGAAGGUUGGUUGGCAUGAGAAAGAUCUGAUUUCUUUCUCACGCCAUCACAAAAAUUAGCGUGGAAAUUUUGGAUGCCAUAUCUUUUAUGGCGUGAAGGGUGUUGGCGCCUCUUCUUAACCCUAAUCCCUAGCCUACCUAUAAAAGGGAUCCAAUUGUUGGAUGCCCAAUAAGAGAAGUGUGAUUUCAAGAAGAAAAAAAUAAUUUUCUAUGGCCUCUCCUCCUUUCCUUAUUUUUUCUCCCUCUCUAGAGUAUCUAAGAGAUUCAAAGAAGAAGAAGAAAUCAGCCAUCAAAGAUCUUCAUGAGCUAGCACUUCUGAGGAGAUUGAUCAGCAACCGAUCUUUGUGUGGACGAUCCAUAGAGGCCAGACGUCUUGUGCAGCUACGAGCAACAUAAAGG